Molecule: unclassified non-coding RNA, 262 nt
Filed under: Fusarium solani
Lineage: Eukaryota; Fungi; Ascomycota; Sordariomycetes; Hypocreales; Nectriaceae
Description: partial contains 5.8S ribosomal RNA, internal transcribed spacer 2, and large subunit ribosomal RNA
Source: RNAcentral
CGCACAUUGCGCCCGCCAGUAUUCUGGCGGGCAUGCCUGUUCGAGCGUCAUUACAACCCUCAGGCCCCCGGGCCUGGCGUUGGGGAUCGGCGGAGCCCCCCGUGGGCACACGCCGUCCCCCAAAUACAGUGGCGGUCCCGCCGCAGCUUCCAUCGCGUAGUAGCUAACACCUCGCGACUGGAGAGCGGCGCGGCCACGCCGUAAAACACCCAACUCUUCUGAAGUUGACCUCGAAUCAGGUAGGAAUACCCGCUGAACUUAA